RNAcentral lists this ribosomal RNA (855 nucleotides) under Trechispora torrendii. RNAcentral describes it as "Trechispora sp. RC-2019d partial large subunit ribosomal RNA". It matches the Rfam family "Eukaryotic large subunit ribosomal RNA", at positions 70 to 943 of the family's 3401-position model. Lineage: Eukaryota; Fungi; Basidiomycota; Agaricomycetes; Trechisporales; Hydnodontaceae. The record is from RNAcentral.
CAGGAUUCCCCUAGUAACUGCGAGUGAAGCGGGAAAAGCUCAAAUUUCAAAUCUGGCGGUCAUGCCGUCCGAGUUGUAUUCUGGAGAAGCGUUUUCCGUGCCGGACCGUGUACAAGUCCCUUGGAACAGGGCGUCGUAGAGGGUGAGAAUCCCGUCUUUGACACGGACCACCGGNGCUAUGCGAUGCGCUCUCGACGAGUCGAGUUGUUUGGGAAUGCAGCUCAAAAUGGGUGGUAAAUUCCAUCUAAAGCUAAAUAUUGGCGAGAGACCGAUAGCGAACAAGUACCGUGAGGGAAAGAUGAAAAGCACUUUGGAAAGAGAGUAAAACAGUACGUGAAAUUGUUGAAAGGGAAACGCUUGAAGUCAGUCGCGUCUGCCGGAACUCAGCCUUGCUUCUGCUUGGCGCACUUUCCGGCCCGACGGGCCAGCAUCGNUUUUGGGUGUCGGACACUGGCGAGGGGAAGGUGGCAGCUCCGGCUGUGUUAUAGCCCCUCGUCGCAAACGCCGCCUGGGACCGAGGAAUCCGGCGCAAGCCUGGGAUGCUGGCGUAAUGGCUUUAAACGACCCGUCUUGAAACACGGACCAAGGAGUGCUACGUGCUCGCGAGUGUUUGGGUGGAAAACCCAGACGCGCAAUGAAAGUGAAAGUCGAUACCCCUUGCGGGGGCACCGACGCCCGAGCCUGAUGUUUUCGGAAGGCCUUGCGGUAGAGCGAGUGCGUUGCGACCCGAAAGAUGGUGAACUAUUCCUGAGCAGGGCGAAGCCAGAGGAAACUCUGGUGGAGGCUCGUAGCGGUUCUGACGUGCAAAUCGAUCGCAGGACUUGGGUAUAGGGGCGAAAGACUAAUCGAACCNAU